UAAUUAGUGACGCGCAUGAAUGGAUUA
RNAcentral lists this non-coding RNA (27 nucleotides) under Bombyx mori (domestic silkworm). RNAcentral also lists the same sequence under 4 other names. The record is from RNAcentral. Lineage: Eukaryota; Metazoa; Arthropoda; Insecta; Lepidoptera; Bombycidae.